Molecule: non-coding RNA, 270 nt
Organism: Vicia faba (fava bean)
Lineage: Eukaryota; Viridiplantae; Streptophyta; Magnoliopsida; Fabales; Fabaceae
Source: the annotation of a GenBank genome assembly
AUGGCCUUAGAUUCAGAAGAAGAAUGUGUUCUUCAUGUGAUCUUUUUUCCAUGUCCAAAUCUUGUUUCAAUGCAGCAUUUUCAAUAUCAUUGUGAACUUUGUCUUUCUUUAAUUGGGAAAAAUCCUGCUCUUCGAGUUUUCUUCUUUUCUGAACUGGUUUUGUUUACAAGCUACCAAACUAUUUUUCUGUUUGAACUUUAUGGGCUGUUUAUGUUUUGUAAAGUGCAGGGUUGGAAAACUUGGAGUCGGGACAUGAAACCUAUCGCAUAA